UACGUAGGUCCCGAGCGUUGUCCGGAUUUAUUGGGCGUAAAGCGAGCGCAGGUGGUUUAUUAAGUCUGGUGUAAAAGGCAGUGGCUCAACCAUUGUAUGCAUUGGAAACUGGUAGACUUGAGUGCAGGAGAGGAGAGUGGAAUUCCAUGUGUAGCGGUGAAAUGCGUAGAUAUAUGGAGGCACACCGGUGGCGAAAGCGGCUCUCUGGCCUGUAACUGACACUGAGGCUCGAAAGCGUGGGGAGCAAACAGG
This 252-nucleotide ribosomal RNA is filed under the name uncultured bacterium. RNAcentral's name for it is "partial 16S ribosomal RNA". It matches the Rfam family "Bacterial small subunit ribosomal RNA", at positions 524 to 776 of the family's 1533-position model. The record is from RNAcentral.